AUUGUGGGGUUUUGUCUGACAGGCGGAAGGUGACAGACACUGCUAGGAAAAAAAACCUAGUGAAUAUUGGAACAGUCUGGUGGCCGCGCUCUUUUGCAGGUUGUGCGGUCCAGGAGGGAUAGAUAUGCGCUGUGUGGGUCAGAGACUAGCAUAGGUCAGGUUCCCUAUGUGUUAUACCAUCUCUGGAGGAUCUUGUAUUCACCGCAUUGCACCAUCAGGCCUUUUGGUAAAUAAGAGGGGUCCGUGAUCUUGGAAUCCUCACUUUGUCUGGACGUCGUUGCAUUUGGGGAAAUUUCGUAGUGCGGAAUUUAAUUGCAUUGAUCCCCCUCUUUGUAUUUAUUGGAACUGGAGCUUCUGGAGCAACACUGUAUCUCUUGCGUCUGGCAUUGUUCAAUCCAGAUGUUUGUUGGGACAGAAAUAACCCAGAGCCCUGGAACAAACUGGGUCCCAAUGAUCAAUACAAGUUCUACUCAGUGAAUGUGGAUUACAGCA
RNAcentral lists this small RNA (492 nucleotides) under Pongo abelii (Sumatran orangutan). RNAcentral's name for it is "retained intron". The record is from RNAcentral. Lineage: Eukaryota; Metazoa; Chordata; Mammalia; Primates; Hominidae.